AUGGAGGAGGAGGGUGUAGGCAUGCCGAGUGAUCGGGAGGAUAAUUACAUUGAGCAAGUGCUGCAGGUAGAAGACGAGGACACCAUCGGGGUGAGGGAUGCACUGCCCCAACGCCUGAUCGAAUCUGGAGUUGGUUGUUGUAACCUGAAGGAAGAAUCUGCAAACAUGCAUAAUGUCAGCGAGUGGGUGUUGAUUGCAGUUGCAUGUGCUCUGAGAUAUAUGCUUCUGUACGAUGUUACUGAGCUUCUUACCACGUACAUGGCGCUGAACCUUGUGGAUGGGUAUGGCCAGCCGGCGCUGCUAUACAUCGUUCCUUUCAAAGUGGAGGUGGACAGAGAUGACUACAACCUGCCAGGAGCUGAAACUCUGAAAAAUUUCCCAAGAAAUCGACACUGUAGCACAGGGAAGCUCUCACACAACGUUUCGCUGCUUGCAAGUCUUGUAAUGGACAACUUUACGGCGAUGGAACUGGUGGACUCAGAAGAAAGGAAUGCUCGUCCCUUAGGGCUCAACUGUGUACAUUAUGUUGUCAAAGACAGACGGCGUCGACAUUAG
This 555-nucleotide ribosomal RNA is filed under the name Triticum aestivum (bread wheat). RNAcentral's name for it is "partial small subunit ribosomal RNA". The record is from RNAcentral. Lineage: Eukaryota; Viridiplantae; Streptophyta; Magnoliopsida; Poales; Poaceae.